RNAcentral lists this ribosomal RNA (507 nucleotides) under uncultured bacterium. Its description in RNAcentral is "bacterial SSU rRNA". It matches the Rfam family "Bacterial small subunit ribosomal RNA", at positions 28 to 526 of the family's 1533-position model. The record is from RNAcentral.
GACGAACGCUGGCGGCGUGGAUUAGGCAUGCAAGUCGAACGGUAUCAUCCUUUCGGGGGUGAGAGAGUGGCGAACUGGUGAGUAACACGUAGGUUAUCUACCCUCAAGACGGGGACAACCCAGGGAAACUUGGGCUAAUACCGGAUGUGAGCAACUUUUAGUUGUUUGAAAGGUGGCGUAAGCUGUCGCUUGGGGAUGAGCCUGCGUCCCUAUUAGUUAGUUGGUGAGGUAACGGCUCACCUAGGCAAUGAUAGGUAGGCGGCCUUAACGGGUGGUCGCCCACACUGGGAUUGAGAUACGGCCCAGACUCCUACGGGAGGCAGCAGUCGAGAAUAGUCUACAAUGGUCGGAAGACUGAUAGUGCGACGCCGCGUGAACGAUGAAUCCCUUCGGGGUGUAAAGUUCUUUUAUAUGUGAGCAGUGCUUCUUAUAUUAACAGUAUGGGGAGAGAGAUAUUAGCAUAUGAAUAAGCAACGGCUAACUCCGUGCCAGCAGCCGCGGUAAACU